UGGGGAAUAUUGGACAAUGGGCGCAAGCCUGAUCCAGCCAUGCCGCGUGAGUGAUGAAGGCCUUAGGGUUGUAAAGCUCUUUCACCCGGGACGAUAAUGACGGUACCGGGAGAAGAAGCCCCGGCUAACUUCGUGCCAGCAGCCGCGGUAAUACGAAGGGGGCUAGCGUUGUUCGGAAUCACUGGGCGUAAAGCGUACGUAGGCGGACCGUUAAGUCGGAGGUGAAAUCCUGGGGCUCAACCCCAGAACUGCCUUCGAUACUGGCGGUCUCGAGUCCGGAAGAGGUGAGUGGAACUGCCAGUGUAGAGGUGAAAUUCGUAGAUAUUGGCAAGAACACCAGUGGCGAAGGCGGCUCACUGGUCCGGUACUGACGCUGAGGUACGAAAGCGUGGGGAGCAAACA
Molecule: ribosomal RNA, 402 nt
Filed under: uncultured bacterium
Lineage: Bacteria
Description: bacterial SSU rRNA
Rfam family: Bacterial small subunit ribosomal RNA
Source: RNAcentral